UAUCCUCUUUUCUUUUCUCGCAGUGUUAGCACCUUGACAAUGGCAACUUCCUAAUUUUGUAGAGACAAACAGAGAAACAACAUUCUCUAUUGACAAUAACUUGCUUUGGAACCUACCUGGUGCCUCUGCGUUUUCUAACUGGAAAAGUUUUUCCCAUCAGAGGCUAAUGAUCCAUGUGCCAAUGCUUUCUUGUUUAUAAUAAAGAAAGUUCAACUUGUGUCCUUGAAGUAAAAUGUAAACAAAUUUCAAGGCCAUCGACUAAGAAUUAAUAAUACUUUCUAAAGUCAUUUAUGAAAAUAAACAGAAGCUGUUCGAGAGAAAUAUAUUUAGUCUUCCUAUAUCUUGUUCUAAUGAGAAGACUAUUCUGAAGAGUUAUAACUUUCCUCUGCUGUAUGCUGUUAUGAAAAAUUUAUUGCUCAAUGAUU
RNAcentral lists this long non-coding RNA (425 nucleotides) under Polistes fuscatus (common paper wasp). RNAcentral's name for it is "uncharacterized LOC122517795". The record is from RNAcentral. Lineage: Eukaryota; Metazoa; Arthropoda; Insecta; Hymenoptera; Vespidae.